AAACCAUGCUAUGGGCAUCAAUUGACAAGAUCCUUGAACCGCACCCAACAUUAGAAGAAUAUUUCAUCCUCCUUUUAGACGAAGUUCAUGAUUGACUUUCUAAGGGU
Magnolia sinica is the source of this 107-nucleotide small nucleolar RNA. The record is from RefSeq and is a predicted model, not a curated record. NCBI's taxonomy places the organism in Eukaryota, Viridiplantae, Streptophyta, Magnoliopsida, Magnoliales, Magnoliaceae.